Molecule: transfer-messenger RNA, 208 nt
Filed under: Caryophanales bacterium
Lineage: Bacteria; Bacillati; Bacillota; Bacilli; Caryophanales
Description: Bacillales bacterium (anaerobic digester metagenome) partial transfer-messenger RNA
Rfam family: transfer-messenger RNA
About the family: Bacterial tmRNA, also known as 10Sa RNA or SsrA, is named for its dual tRNA and mRNA-like properties. Its role is to liberate the mRNA from a stalled ribosome.
Source: RNAcentral
GCCCAUGUGGUAGGGUCAGGGACUCACUCUUAGUGGGCUACGCCGGAGUUCGCCGUCUGAGGACGAAGGAAGAGAACAACCAGACUAGCUGCUGGGAAGCCUGUCGAUAGGCUGAACAGUUAGCGAAGCGCUAAUAUAUCGACUACACUCGUAGAAGCUUAAGUCACGAUGCUUUUGGACGAGGGUUCGACUCCCUCCGUCUCCACCA